Molecule: small RNA, 80 nt
Filed under: Seonamhaeicola sp. S2-3
Lineage: Bacteria; Pseudomonadati; Bacteroidota; Flavobacteriia; Flavobacteriales; Flavobacteriaceae
Description: Flavo-1 RNA
Rfam family: Flavo-1 RNA
Source: Rfam by way of RNAcentral
CUCUAGCGUGAGGGGCAGCAGCGGCAUCCUUUUGUGGUUCCUUAAAACCAUAAAAGAUAUAGUGGAUGACCCGACCCGCU